This 73-nucleotide transfer RNA is filed under the name Mus musculus (house mouse). It matches the Rfam family "tRNA". Rfam says of the family: Transfer RNA (tRNA) molecules are approximately 80 nucleotides in length. Their secondary structure includes four short double-helical elements and three loops (D, anti-codon, and T loops). Lineage: Eukaryota; Metazoa; Chordata; Mammalia; Rodentia; Muridae. The record is from Rfam by way of RNAcentral. RNAcentral also lists the same sequence under 1 other name.
GGAGAGAUGGCUCAAUGGCUCAAAGCACUUAGUGUUCCUGCAGAGGACCUGGGUUCAAUCCCCAGUCAUUCUG